GCUUAGCCCUAAACACAGAUAUUUUAGUACAAUAAUAUCCGCCAGAGGACUACAAGCGAAAAGCUAGAAACUCCAAGGACUUGGCGGUGCUUCAAAUCAACCUAGAGGAGCCUGUCCUAUAAUCGAUACUCCACGUUAAACCUUACCCCCCCUGGCCAACCAGCCUAUAUACCGCCGUCGCCAGCCUACCUUAUGAAAGAAGAAAAGUAAGCAAAAUAGUUAAUAACUAACACGUCAGGUCAAGGUGUAGCAUAUGGGGGGGGACAGAGAUGGGCUACAUUUUCAAAACGAACACACGAAUAACAUGUUGAAACACAUGUUUGAAGGCGGAUUUAGUAGUAAAACAGACAAGAAAGACAUGUUGAAAAUCUGCUCUGAAGCGCGC
This 385-nucleotide ribosomal RNA is filed under the name Alpinoscincus alpinus. RNAcentral's name for it is "partial small subunit ribosomal RNA". It matches the Rfam family "Bacterial small subunit ribosomal RNA", at positions 794 to 1384 of the family's 1533-position model. Lineage: Eukaryota; Metazoa; Chordata; Lepidosauria; Squamata; Scincidae. The record is from RNAcentral.